RNAcentral lists this unclassified non-coding RNA (1016 nucleotides) under Hevea brasiliensis (rubber tree). Lineage: Eukaryota; Viridiplantae; Streptophyta; Magnoliopsida; Malpighiales; Euphorbiaceae. The record is from RNAcentral.
AGCAUAACAAGAUCAGCAUCAAUCACAAAGACGUUUCAUCUUGUUAUGAACCAAAGCCAAGUAAUUUAACAUGGAUGAUUCCAAGGGUUCAUUGCUUGAGAUAUUAUUACCAUAGAAUGAAAUAUUAUGGCAUUCAUUUGCUGAACCAGAAAAUUACAACUUUAUGCAGAUAGAAUAUUCAAAAAGACAGUAAAGCACAUGCAGAUAUGAAUUAUCAUUCCAUGCCUAAGAGAUGCAGUUGAUGAAUACAUUAAUAGUUUCAAGAAAUUGCUGCAUCAGCAACCCUCUUAUAACUAGAUCAAAGAAGGGUUUUUAUUAAAGUUUGCAGAACACUGAGGUUAUAAGGCCAUACUGAGAUUUUCAAGGAGUAUCAAACAAGGAACCAUGGACAAAUCAAUUUUUUUAUCCACUUCUACACAAAUGAACAAUUGUACCAAUCAAGGGUCUCAAACCAUUCAUAGUAACUUCAGAUACCCACCCAAGAACGAAAACUGCACCAAGAGCAACCGUGGUAGUAAUUAAAGCUUGGCAGAAAUAGCUGAACCCUAAACAAAAAUAGUGUUUCUCCUAGCGGCCCAAAGACUUAUAACAUCUAAUAAUUGUCCUGCAAGAAAUCUAACUAUUGUCCCGCCUGAUAAAAAUUGCCAAACCACCUACUAUAUUGUUGAGCUUCGCGUAGUUUGAUCUACCAAAUCAAGCCAUCAUAAACUACCAUUUGAGCCGAUAUUUGCAUAACCGGAUAAUUUUUUAUAGAACCUCAACACAUCUAGCAUGGAUCUUGAAUUUAACCAAAACUCAGUGCCAAUGUAACAAUAAUUGUCAGAAUUCUCCUCAGUAUCAUAUCUAUCAUAGGGUUCUCUAAAUCCCGAUUUCUCAUUUUCCUUUACGAAUGAUAAAUAAAGAACGAAUCCAACAUUUCUCAGAGGAAACUAGGAAUUCAGAUCAAAUCAAAGAGGAAAAAAAAUAUGGGAUCUAGCAGUUCCAAAAUGUAGAGAAACAAAACGAUAAAAAAAACA